UACGUAGGCAGCGAGCGUUGUUCGGAGUUACUGGGCGUAAAGCGUGCGUAGGCGGUUGUCUAAGUUUGGUGUGAAAUCUCCCGGCUUAACUGGGAGGGUGCGCCGAAAACUGGGUGACUGGAGUGUCGGAGAGGUAAGCGGAAUUCCUGGUGUAGCGGUGAAAUGCGUAGAGAUCAGGAGGAACACCUGUGGUGUAGACAGCUUACUGGACGAUAACUGACGCUGAGGCACGAAAGCGUGGGUAGCAAACAGGAUUAGAUACCCUGGUAGUCCACGCCCUAAACGAUGCAUACUUGGUGUGGGCAGUUCAUUCUGUCCGUGCCGGAGCUAACGCGUUAAGUAUGCCGCCUGGGGAGUACGGUCGCAAGGCUGAA
Molecule: ribosomal RNA, 374 nt
Filed under: uncultured bacterium
Lineage: Bacteria
Description: bacterial SSU rRNA
Rfam family: Bacterial small subunit ribosomal RNA
Source: RNAcentral